This 460-nucleotide ribosomal RNA is filed under the name uncultured bacterium. Its description in RNAcentral is "partial 16S ribosomal RNA". It matches the Rfam family "Bacterial small subunit ribosomal RNA", at positions 338 to 795 of the family's 1533-position model. The record is from RNAcentral.
CCUACGGGUGGCAGCAGUGAGGAAUAUUGGUCAAUGGGCGCAAGCCUGAACCAGCCAAGUCGCGUGAGGGAUGACGGCCCUACGGGUUGUAAACUGCUUUUGCCGGGGAGUAACGGGCGUCACGUGUGGCGCCACUGAGAGUACCCGUAGAAAAAGCAUCGGCUAAUUCCGUGCCAGCAGCGGCGGUAAUAGGGAGGAGGCGAGCUUUAUCCGGAUUUAUUGGGUUUAAAGGGUGCGUAGGCGGAUCGUUAAGUCAGUGGUCAAAUUGAGGGGCUCAACCCCUUCCCGCCAUGGAAACUGGCGCUCUUGAGUGGAAGAGAAGUAUGCGGAAUGCGUGGUGUAGCGGUGAAAUGCAUAGAUAUCACGCAGAACCCCGAUUGCGAAGGCAGCAUGCCGGCUUCCGACUGACGCUGAAGCACGAAAGCGUGGGGAUCGAACAGGAUUAGAUACCCGAGUAGUC